Molecule: ribosomal RNA, 250 nt
Filed under: fungal sp.
Lineage: Eukaryota; Fungi
Description: partial large subunit ribosomal RNA
Rfam family: Eukaryotic large subunit ribosomal RNA
Source: RNAcentral
CGUGAAAUUGUUGAAAGGGAAGCGCUUGCGGUCAGAACUUUAUCAUAGUUGUUCAACCGAUCAUUUUUUGAUCGGCCCAUUCUUCUAUGAUAGGGCCAACAUCGGUUUAAAUGGUUGGAUAAAGGCCCUAAGAAUGUGACCCUUUGGGGUGUUAUAGCUUUGGGUACAAUAUGACCUAUUUAGACCGAGGGAAGCGAAUUUUUCCAGGAUGUUGGCAUAAUGGUUGCAAGCGGCCCGUCUUGAAACACGG